This is a long non-coding RNA of Orcinus orca (killer whale), 644 nucleotides long. RefSeq lists it as uncharacterized. The record is from RefSeq and is a predicted model, not a curated record. NCBI's taxonomy places the organism in Eukaryota, Metazoa, Chordata, Mammalia, Artiodactyla, Delphinidae. The transcript is spliced from 2 exons.
UUACUGUGUUUGGGGUAUCCUUUUUGCGGACUGCAGGUUCGUAGCUCUCGUUGUUUUUGGUGUCUGUCCCCAGUGGUUAAGGUUGGUUCAGUGGGUUGUGUGGGCUUCCUGGUGUAGGGGACUAGUGCCUGUGUUCUGGUGGAUGAGGCUGGGUCGUGUCUUUCUGGUGGGCAGGUCCACAUCUGGUGGUGUGUUUUGGGGUGUCUGUGGACUUAUUAUGAUUUUAGGCAGCCUCUCUGCUAAUGGUUGGGGUUGUGUUCCUGUCUUGCUAGUUGUUUGGCAUACGGUGUCCAGCACUGUAGCUUGCUGGUCGUUGAGUGAACCUGGGUGCUGGCGUUGAGAUGGAGAUCUCUGGGAGAUUUUCGCCAUUUUAUAUUAUGUGGAGCUGGGAGGUCUCUUGUGGACCAGUGUCCUGAAGUUGGCUCUCCCACCUCAGAGGCACAGCACUGACUCCUGGCUGCAGCACCAAGAGCCUUUCAUCCACACAGCUCAGAAUUGAAAGGGAGAAAAGGUAAAAAUAAAGGAAGAAAGAAAAGAAGAGGAUAAAAUAAAAUAAAAUGAAGUAAGGUAAAAUAAAAUAAGGUUAUUAAAAUAAAAAAUAAUUAUUAAGAAAAAAAAAUUUUUUUAAGAAAAAAAGAAACGGA